RNAcentral lists this ribosomal RNA (790 nucleotides) under Vibrio sp. RNAcentral describes it as "bacterial SSU rRNA". It matches the Rfam family "Bacterial small subunit ribosomal RNA", at positions 45 to 816 of the family's 1533-position model. The record is from RNAcentral. Lineage: Bacteria; Pseudomonadati; Pseudomonadota; Gammaproteobacteria; Vibrionales; Vibrionaceae.
GCGGCUACACAUGCAGUCGAGCGGAACGAGUUAUCUGAACCUUCGGGGAACGAUAACGGCGUCGAGCGGCGGACGGGUGAGUAAUGCCUAGGAAAUUGCCCUGAUGUGGGGGAUAACCAUUGGAAACGAUGGCUAAUACCGCAUGAUGCCUACGGGCCAAAGAGGGGGACCUUCGGGCCUCUCGCGUCAGGAUAUGCCUAGGUGGGAUUAGCUAGUUGGUGAGGUAAGGGCUCACCAAGGCGACGAUCCCUAGCUGGUCUGAGAGGAUGAUCAGCCACACUGGAACUGAGACACGGUCCAGACUCCUACGGGAGGCAGCAGUGGGGAAUAUUGCACAAUGGGCGCAAGCCUGAUGCAGCCAUGCCGCGUGUAUGAAGAAGGCCUUCGGGUUGUAAAGUACUUUCAGUCGUGAGGAAGGCGUUGUCGUUAAUAGCGGCAUCGUUUGACGUUAGCGACAGAAGAAGCACCGGCUAACUCCGUGCCAGCAGCCGCGGUAAUACGGAGGGUGCGAGCGUUAAUCGGAAUUACUGGGCGUAAAGCGCAUGCAGGUGGUUUGUUAAGUCAGAUGUGAAAGCCCGGGGCUCAACCUCGGAAUAGCAUUUGAAACUGGCAGACUAGAGUACUGUAGAGGGGGGUAGAAUUUCAGGUGUAGCGGUGAAAUGCGUAGAGAUCUGAAGGAAUACCGGUGGCGAAGGCGGCCCCCUGGACAGAUACUGACACUCAAAUGCGAAAGCGGGGGGAGCAAACAGGAUAAAAUACCCGGGAAGCCCACGCCGUAAACGAUGUCUAC